This is a long non-coding RNA of Larimichthys crocea (large yellow croaker), 3059 nucleotides long. RefSeq lists it as uncharacterized. The transcript is spliced from 3 exons. The record is from RefSeq and is a predicted model, not a curated record. Lineage: Eukaryota; Metazoa; Chordata; Actinopteri; Sciaenidae.
AAGAUGGACAAGAAGAAGAAGAGGAGAAGAAGGCGGGGGCAGAGGGAAUGUAAAGAAGAAAAAGACAAACAUGAGAAGAAGAGGAGGAGGAGGAGGACCACGUGGGGAUUCAGAGGUGUUUUCUCAUUCAGCUUGUUUGGCGAGCGUUGCCGUGGCGUCUUCGGGGACGACGCUCCUACAAGACAAAGAUUAGCGCUACAAAGGCAGCAGGUGGCUGCUGGCUCCGCCGCUGCCCGACUCUGGGACCUAAUUAUCUACGGCACGGAAACUUUCCCCCCGUUUGAAGGACAAAUGAUUAAUUAAAAAGAACAACUCACCUACGCCUGUGAUCUUUGGACAAUACCCAGAGUGCCGAGGGUUUCUUUCCACACGUGUGUGUGUCGGUGUGUGAUUGUGGGGAAGCCUCGGCGGGACGGUGUAUCAUUGUCAGACAGUCUUAAUAGCGCUGCCUGGUUCAGGGAGCCCGUUGUGUCCGACUGAUAACUAGCUAACGUGACGUUGACACGCGGGACGGGACAAAGCGAGCUACAGCAAGGUCACCGUGACCUUCAGCAGCCGCCGCCGCCAUGACGGAGCGAGGAAGACACAAAUAUAAUUGACUUAACAAAUGGGAUAUAAUACAGCAGAUAAGACAGACGCGUGUAGCACGUGAAGGUGUCAUUUAGCAACUUCAAAAGGCUGAAAAUAAACAGAUGUUUCAGUCCUCGAACUUCCGUACUUACACUUAGUAAAUGCGUUCACGUUGUCAGUUCUGUCAAAAUGAAGAAGUGUACUGUGAGUACCCGGAUGGUUCUCUCAUAACACUUGACACUUCUCGGCCUUGGUGGUCGCCAUUUUGGCUACAUGGCUGAAGGGGGUGUUAAGAAAAUGGUGGCCGAGGAAGGUGCUGAAGCUGAAGAGGCUGUGGUGAAUACCGCGAUAUAUACAAAUAGUCCUUCUGUCUUUAUUUCCUCUCUGUUCGUGUUUGGCCAGACGACAGCGGUGUCCCCAGAUAAAAGACGACCAAACAAGAAAGGGAGGUAGGAAAAAAACAGAAGAAGGAGAAGAAAAAGAAGAAGAAGAAGAAGAAAAGGGACUGGGAUGAAGAAGAAACAGAGAGGGCGAGGAUAACAGAGCGACGAGUGUGUUUGGUGUAAUUGAAUCCAGGCGGCGGCGCAGAAAGGGGACAGAUGGAUGGACUGAACAGAUUAGCAUCCGUAAUCAGAGGAAGGCGUGAGGAGGAAUAGACGCGGAGGACGUGUUCAUUGAGCUGCGCCAGCUUCCGAUGAACACAAAGUACGACUUAUUGUCUCAGAUGGAACAGACACACACGUGUUGUUUUACAUGAUGAGACUUUUGACAGUUCCUGCUGCCGAAUCUGAUCAAGAUACAAACAUGAGAAGAUCUGCUGAGUCGAAACACAGUCACUUUAAACAAAAAAAUACUCUGUUCAUGGGAGAAGAACACAGCUCCGUCCUUGUGUUGUCACACUGCAGUGGACUGAACACACAGGAAGGAAACAGUAGAAGAAGAAAGCAGGAAGCAGGAAGAGAUGGAAAUGACUCAGAAAUGGCGUUAUGAAUUUUCACAAUAAAACACCAUGUGCAGAUUCUUCAUGCUAAGAACAGCUAAAAAGGAAACUAAAUUAAGUUAUAUGUUUUUAUCACAUAUAUGUAACUAAUUUGACAUCCAAUCAAACACUUUCUCGCUUCUGGCGCCGCUGGAGCAGAGUGCUUCCUGUUUGAUACAGUCUAUGAGUGAUCUAUGGCCAGGCCUCACUGCUUACUGUACAAAAGCACAACUUUAUAACUUUAUUCAGUGAUUUUAGUCAAACUUGAUCCGAUUUUAUUCACAAUAUAUUUGCUGCUUUUCCCUCUGAUGUCCUCCAGCUGCUCAGUAAAUUUCCGUUUUAUAAACCCCACCCACCUGGGACACCAUGUGUCUUAAAACAAGCAUAAAGUUGCUUCACUUCCACGUAAAGUUCAUCAGUCUGAAUAGAUUUUUCUGAAGUUAAUAACUGGGCUUCCCUCGCUGGCUGCUCUGUCAUCAUCUUAUCAGACAGCUGACCUCAUCGUGUUAAUUACAGUCAGGCUCAUAAAGUAUUGAAAUUGGAGUUAAAAUAUGAGAUGACCUUGGAGGAGAGAGAUCUUCCUUUGAAGCUCUGCGCUGCUUUUCAGCACCCUCUUACACCGAGAGAGAGUCAUCUUUAAAAGCACAUGACGCAAUUUGACUAAUAUCAGUCAAACGGAGGCUGAGAGGUUCGAAUCGUUCUGAAGGGUGAGUGGUUGGAAUUAUUACUCAUAAGUGUAAUUCAGAGGAAGAACUCAAGCCUGCUGCUUGUACUUCGUCUCACUUCAGUGUCUUCAUUAAAUGUCAUCAUUUCAGGGUCACAGGCACAUUUACAUUCAGUCGGAUGUCUGCUGGCUGUUGACUUUGACCUUUAACCUCCUCACUGGAGGUGAAGGGACUGAAGUUUUAUUUUCGACCUGAUAAAUACGGGAUUUGACAAAGAGAGCUCCUGACCUGAAAAUUCAGCUACAAGUAUUUUUGCUUUUUUAAGGCUGGUUUUAUUGUCACAUGUUGAUAUAUUUCUAGACAAAAUUUAGUAUAUUUGUUAUUAUCUUAUGGAGGUUUUGCUAAAACUUUCACAUUUCCUGCUAAACAUUUUCCAGAUCCUCAUUCACACACACGAUCAGUGAUCACUGUCUUGUCUGUUUUUUGCUCAGUAUUAAGAAAAUAUUUCUAAGAAUUCAUUCACUACUGCACUGAGCCACGUAGACAAACAUAAACAUGACCUGAUAUCAUAAAGAAACAGCAGAAAUACUGAACUGACGACCCGAGACGUCAGGAGCCAAACCCGGCAAAAGAAAACACCUCAGUAGGCGACUGUAUUCACUGACAGACUGACCACUGCCGGUUUCAGAGGUUGUGUGCAGGUUCUGGUCAUGUUCACUGGAAGAUGUCUUUUAUCUUGUUUUGUUGUGCUUUUCAUGCAUGAUGGAGGCUCCAUGAAUGUAUCACCAAAAAAAAUUGGUCUAAAAUUACUGACUUAAAAGUGAUUUUUGAGGUUGAGAUUUGAC